CCUACGGGGGGCAGCAGUGGGGAAUAUUGGACAAUGGGCGAAAGCCUGAUCCAGCCAUGCCGCGUGUGUGAAGAAGGCCUUCGGGUUGUAAAGCACUUUCAGUGGGGAAGAAAGCCUUGGGGCUAAUACCCUCGAGGAAGGACAUCACCCACAGAAGAAGCACCGGCUAACUCCGUGCCAGCAGCCGCGGUAAUACGGAGGGUGCGAGCGUUAAUCGGAAUUACUGGGCGUAAAGCGCGCGUAGGCGGUCUGAUAAGCCGGUUGUGAAAGCCCCGGGCUCAACCUGGGAACGGCAUCCGGAACUGUCAGGCUAGAGUGCAGGAGAGGAAGGUAGAAUUCCCGGUGUAGCGGUGAAAUGCGUAGAGAUCGGGAGGAAUACCAGUAGCGAAGGCGGCCUUCUGGACUGACACUGACGCUGAGGUGCGAAAGCGUGGGUAGCAAACAGGAUUAGAUACCCGAGUAGUC
RNAcentral lists this ribosomal RNA (465 nucleotides) under Vreelandella stevensii. RNAcentral's name for it is "partial 16S ribosomal RNA". It matches the Rfam family "Bacterial small subunit ribosomal RNA", at positions 338 to 795 of the family's 1533-position model. The record is from RNAcentral. Lineage: Bacteria; Pseudomonadati; Pseudomonadota; Gammaproteobacteria; Oceanospirillales; Halomonadaceae.